This 346-nucleotide ribosomal RNA is filed under the name uncultured bacterium. RNAcentral's name for it is "partial 16S ribosomal RNA". It matches the Rfam family "Bacterial small subunit ribosomal RNA", at positions 338 to 681 of the family's 1533-position model. The record is from RNAcentral.
CCUACGGGAGGCAGCAGUGGGGAAUAUUGGGCAAUGGGCGCAAGCCUGAACCAGCCAAGUCGCGUGAAGGAUGAAGGAUCUAUGGUGUGUAAACUUCUUUUAUAGGGGAAUAAAGUGAGGAACGUGUUCCUUUUUGUAUGUACCAUAUGAAUAAGCAUCGGCUCACUCCGUGCCAGCAGCCGCGGUAAUACGGAGGAUGCGAGCGUUAUCCGGAUUUAUUGGGUUUAAAGGGUGCGUAGGUGGUUAAUUAAGUCAGCGGUGAAAGUUUGUGGCUCAACCAUAAAAUUGCCGUUGAAACGGGUUGACUUGAGUAUAUUUGAGGUCGGCGGACUGCGUGUUGUAGCGG